CGGCUUUUUCCUUUAUUGACAGAGGAUAGACAGGAAAGAUGGGAGACAGAUGGGGGAUGACAUGCAGCAAAGGGCCACAGGUUGGAUUCAUACCCGUGUUACUGCAAAGGCCUCAGCCUACAAGGGGCGCACGCUCUUACUGGGUGAACUAGAGGC
Molecule: long non-coding RNA, 156 nt
Organism: Etheostoma spectabile (orangethroat darter)
Lineage: Eukaryota; Metazoa; Chordata; Actinopteri; Perciformes; Percidae
Exons: 3
Source: RefSeq, a predicted model, not a curated record